Molecule: ribosomal RNA, 253 nt
Filed under: uncultured bacterium
Lineage: Bacteria
Description: partial 16S ribosomal RNA
Rfam family: Bacterial small subunit ribosomal RNA
Source: RNAcentral
UACGUAGGGUGCGAGCGUUGUCCGGAAUUACUGGGCGUAAAGCGCGUGUAGGCGGCUAUGUAAGUCGGGCGUGAAAUCCCACGGCUCAACCGUGGAAGUGCACCCGAAACUGCGUAGCUAGAGUCCUGGAGAGGAAGGUGGAAUGCUUGGUGUAGAGGUGAAAUUCGUAGAUAUCAAGCGGAACACCGGUGGCGAAGGCGGCCUUCUGGACAGUGACUGACGCUGAGACGCGAAAGCGUGGGGAGCAAACAGG